Molecule: ribosomal RNA, 497 nt
Filed under: uncultured bacterium
Lineage: Bacteria
Description: partial 16S ribosomal RNA
Rfam family: Bacterial small subunit ribosomal RNA
Source: RNAcentral
GAUGAACGCUGGCGGCGUGCCUAAUACAUGCAAGUCGAGCGAACGGACGAGAAGCUUGCUUUUCUGAUGUUAGCGGCGGACGGGUGAGUAACACGUGGAUAACCUACCUAUAAGACUGGGAUAAAUUCGGGAAACCGGAGCUAAUACCGGAUAAUAUUUUGAACCGCAUGGUUCAAAAGUGAAAGACGGUCUUGCUGUCACUUAUAGAUGGAUCCGCGCUGCAUUAGCUAGUUGGUAAGGUAACGGCUUACCAAGGCAACGAUGCAUAGCCGACCUGAGAGGAUGAUCGGCCACACUGGAACUGAGACACGGUCCAGACUCCUACGGGAGGCAGCAGUAGGGAAUCUUCCGCAAUGGGCGAAAGCCUGACGGAGCAACGCCGCGUGAGUGAUGAAGGUCUUCGGAUCGUAAAACUCUGUUAUUAGGGAAGAACAUAUGUGUAAGUAACUGUGCACAUCUUGACGGUACCUAAUCAGAAAGCCACGGCUAACUACGUG